UUCAGGUGUCCAACAGGUGUCUGUUGUUCGACUGGUGGGCGGGGCACGCACACCUGCAGGUGGUUCAGCAGCGCCAGGGGCUGCACUAUAAGAACGGCGCAUGAACAGCGGGAGGACGCCAGAUUGUUACCGUCGUGGUUCUCCUCUCGUGAUCCUCGUUUGCUUACCUGCCGGAUUCCACCUGAGCUCCUCUGGUCCCUUCUGAGUCUGAAGCCUCAUCUCGCGGUCCAGGGCUCUUCCCGGCUUCACCUGGUUCCUCCCGCUGGCUCAGGAUCUCUGGAUCUUCCCUGGUGCUGCUCGGACCCCCACUGCUGCCCACGCCCAUCAUUCUGACGGUCACCAACCACCACCGGACAGACGCUGAGUCCGCGAUCGCCUUCCCCCCGGUCUGGGUUUCCGCACUCUGUGACCGACCCGGCACCUCUGGCUCCGCUCUCCCUCCCGUGAUACCGUCGCUGUGGCAGAUUCUUCCCGCAAACCCGUGUUUCUUUCCUUGAUCAAUAAAUCCUCGUAGAGAACACCACCUGUGUACCGAGUGCAUUCUGCAUGUGGGCAAAACACUUAAAACCAAACAUGACAGAAGAACAAUCUGGCCAAACUGACCCAACGGAUGCAUUCGGUAGGGCUUUAACGGCCCAACAGGACCAAAUUCGGGGAUUAGAAUCUACGGUACUCGGUCUUCAGAGUCAACUACAGGGUUUUUCGGCCCAGAUAAAUCAGCUGACGGGUAUGCUAAACGCCAGUCUUCAGUCAGCGGUUUCCGAGUCUCCUAGCCCCUCCCCCGGGUCCGCGUCAGCGGAGACGUCACCACCCGUCCCCGGGAUUCCCUCACCUAAUCCUGAGAAGUUCUCUGGUGACAGCGGAGAUUGUGGGGGUUUUUUAUUUCAGUGUUCCCUUGUUUUCAAUUGCUCCCCACAUUUAUACCUUCAGGAUGAUGCGAAGAUUUCUUUUAUUUUACGUUUACUAACGGGUAGAGCACUCAGAUGGGCGGAAUCCCGCUUCCCAAAUUGCCAACAGUUUGGCGUUACCUUCAGUGAAUUCCUAACCGAGUUUAAAAUGGUUUUCGCUGCCGAAUCUGAUGAGGUGCAGGAUUCUCGGCGACUCUUAGCCCUUCGGCAGCGGGGAAGGCGUGUAGCCGACUUUGCCAUAGAGUUCCGCACGUUGGC
Molecule: long non-coding RNA, 1166 nt
Organism: Fundulus heteroclitus (mummichog)
Lineage: Eukaryota; Metazoa; Chordata; Actinopteri; Cyprinodontiformes; Fundulidae
Exons: 3
Source: RefSeq, a predicted model, not a curated record